GAUGAACGCUGGCGGCGUGCCUAAUAAAUGCAAGUCGAGCGAACGGACGAGAAGCUUGCUUCUCUGAUGUUAGCGGCGGACGGGUGAGUAACACGUGGAUAACCUACCUAUAAGACUGGGAUAACUUCGGGAAACCGGAGCUAAUACCGGAUAAUAUUUUGAACCGCAUGGUUCAAAAGUGAAAGACGGUCUUGCUGUCACUUAUAGAUGGAUCCGCGCUGCAUUAGCUAGUUGGUAAGGUAACGGCUUACCAAGGCAACGAUGCAUAGCCGACCUGAGAGGGUGAUCGGCCACACUGGAACUGAGACACGGUCCAGACUCCUACGGGAGGCAGCAGUAGGGAAUCUUCCGCAAUGGGCGAAAGCCUGACGGAGCAACGCCGCGUGAGUGAUGAAGGUCUUCGGAUCGUAAAACUCUGUUAUUAGGGAAGAACGUAUGUGUAAGUAACUGUGCACAUCUUGACGGUACCUAAUCAGAAAGCCACGGCUAACUACGUG
Molecule: ribosomal RNA, 497 nt
Filed under: uncultured bacterium
Lineage: Bacteria
Description: partial 16S ribosomal RNA
Rfam family: Bacterial small subunit ribosomal RNA
Source: RNAcentral